GCGGUAAUGGUGUAGUGGUAUCAUCUGAGACUGUGGAUCUCUGGACCUGGGUUCGAAUCCCAGUUACCGCC
This 71-nucleotide transfer RNA is filed under the name Candidatus Woesearchaeota archaeon. RNAcentral describes it as "tRNA-His". It matches the Rfam family "tRNA". From Rfam's summary of the family: Transfer RNA (tRNA) molecules are approximately 80 nucleotides in length. Their secondary structure includes four short double-helical elements and three loops (D, anti-codon, and T loops). The record is from RNAcentral. Lineage: Archaea; Nanobdellati; Candidatus Woesearchaeota.